RNAcentral lists this ribosomal RNA (492 nucleotides) under uncultured bacterium. RNAcentral's name for it is "partial 16S ribosomal RNA". It matches the Rfam family "Bacterial small subunit ribosomal RNA", at positions 29 to 507 of the family's 1533-position model. The record is from RNAcentral.
AGUGAACGCUGGCGGUAGGCCUAACACAUGCAAGUCGAACGGCAGCACAGUAAGAGCUUGCUCUUACGGGUGGCGAGUGGCGGACGGGUGAGGCAUACAUCGGAAUCUACUUUUUCGUGGGGGAUAACGUAGGGAAACUUACGCUAAUACCGCAUACGACCUACGGGUGAAAGCAGGGGAUCUUCGGACCUUGCGCGAUUGAAUGAGCCGAUGUCGGAUUAGCUAGUUGGCGGGGUAAAGGCCCACCAAGGCGACGAUCCGUAGCUGGUCUGAGAGGAUGAUCAGCCACACUGGAACUGAGACACGGUCCAGACUCCUACGGGAGGCAGCAGUGGGGAAUAUUGGACAAUGGGCGCAAGCCUGAUCCAGCCAUACUGCGUGGGUGAAGAAGGCCUUCGGGUUGUAAAGCCCUUUUGUUGGGAAAGAAAAGCAGCAGGUUAAUACCCCGCUGUUCUGACGGUACCCAAAGAAUAAGCACCGGCUAACUUCGUG